AGAGUUUGAUCCUGGCUCAGGAUGAACGCUAGCGGCAGGCCUAAUACAUGCAAGUCGGACGGGAUUGAAGAGCUUGCUUUUCAUGAGAGUGGCGCACGGGUGCGUAACACGUAUGUAACCUACCUUUGUCAGGGGGAUAGCCUCUCGAAAGAGAGAUUAAGACCGCAUAACAUGGAAGACACAGCAUUGUGACUCCAUCAAAUAUUUAUAGGACAAAGAUGGGCAUGCGGAACAUUAGCUAGUUGGUAAGGUAAUGGCUUACCAAGGCUACGAUGUUUAGGGGAUCUGAGAGGAUGACCCCCCACACUGGUACUGAGACACGGACCAGACUCCUACGGGAGGCAGCAGUAAGGAAUAUUGGUCAAUGGGCGGAAGCCUGAACCAGCCAUGCCGCGUGCAGGAAGACGGCCCUACGGGUUGUAAACUGCUUUUAUACGG
Molecule: ribosomal RNA, 438 nt
Filed under: uncultured bacterium
Lineage: Bacteria
Description: bacterial SSU rRNA
Rfam family: Bacterial small subunit ribosomal RNA
Source: RNAcentral